AGAGUUUGAUCCUGGCUCAGCCUGAACGCUGGCGGCGUGGCUAAGACAUGCAAGUCGCACGGGCGCAGCAAUGCGUCAGUGGCGAACGGGUGAGUAAUGAAUCGCUAACGUACCCCGGACUCCGGGAUAGCCGUCCGAAAGGGCGGGUAAUACCGGAUGAGACCACGGCAGGGCAUCCUGCGGUGCUCAAAGGUCCGCCGGUCUGGGAGCGGGCGAUUUCGUAUCAGCUAGUUGGUGGGGUAACGGCCCACCAAGGCGACGACGCGUAGCCGGACUGAGAGGUUGGCCGGCCACAUUGGGACUGAGACACUGCCCAGACUCCUACGGGGGGCUGCAGUAACGAAUCUUCCGCAAUGCACGAAAGUGUGACGGAGCGACGCCGCGUGUGGGACGAAGCCCUUCGGGGUGUAAACCACUGUCAGGGGUUAGAAAGUUCUGAUCAACCCCAGAGGAAGGCACGGCUAACUCUGUGCCAGCAGCCGCGGUAAGACAGAGGUGCCGAGCGUUAGGCGGAAUCACUGGGCUUAAAGCGUGUGUAGGCGGGCCCGUAAGUACCUUGUGAAAUCCCACGGCUCAACCGUGGAACGGCUGGGUAUACUGCGGGCCUUGAGCCACCUAGGGGCGAGCGGAACAAGCGGUGGAGCGGUGAAAUGCGUAGAUAUCGCUUGGAACGCCAAUGGUGAAAACAGCUCGCUGGGGGUGUGCUGACGCUGAGACACGAAAGCCAGGGGAGCGAACGGGAUUAGAUACCCCCGUAGUCC
RNAcentral lists this ribosomal RNA (761 nucleotides) under uncultured Planctomycetaceae bacterium. Its description in RNAcentral is "bacterial SSU rRNA". It matches the Rfam family "Bacterial small subunit ribosomal RNA", at positions 8 to 796 of the family's 1533-position model. Lineage: Bacteria; Pseudomonadati; Planctomycetota; Planctomycetia; Planctomycetales; Planctomycetaceae. The record is from RNAcentral.